RNAcentral lists this unclassified non-coding RNA (202 nucleotides) under Hevea brasiliensis (rubber tree). Lineage: Eukaryota; Viridiplantae; Streptophyta; Magnoliopsida; Malpighiales; Euphorbiaceae. The record is from RNAcentral.
UAUUGAUUCCUCAGCUCUGAUAUGAUGAGCCGAAGGCUGAUAUAUUCUUUCUCAUCAAUCUCUGUCACGGUGCGGCGAUAGUCCUCCACAUGGGGAUAUUUAGCUAUUUUAGAAACCAAUUUGGCUCUUGUAAUAUAAUAUCUAGAAAUCUGGUCCAGAUAAGAUGCAGCUUCACUCUCAACAGUUCUUAGCUCUGCAACUG